GCCGGUAGAUCCAAUAGUAAAUAAUCCUUGUUUGGUGCGUCCUCCAUGAAUCAAUCAAGGUGCUUUAAUCCUUAUGGCAGAAAGAAGUCCUCCCAGAGCAACCUAACUGGUACUGUAGCAAUUACUUGGUUCUUGCACAAAUGCGUCAGACAAUACAAACUGCACAAAAUUCUCUUCAAGAAUCAAGGAUAUAUCUACUAAAAAGCAAAUAAAUUAAGAUCCAAUACAAAAACUUCAAUGCUAGUACUUUACCCUGAUCAAUCCUUUCUUAUCACCAUGCUUUUUAUGCUUCCGCAGCCACAUGUAAUCUCCAUUGACAAUCAUCGCUCAUCGGCAUGAACUAGCACUUCUCUGUGCGCCAAUGCAUCCUCUGGUUGGUGCCAGCGCUCACCGGCCAACCUGCAACUGUUACCAGAUAGAUCAAUCAUAAGAACAUAAGCAUCAUAGACGAUAAUCGUCAACCCAUCUAUUUGCAAGUCCUAGCAUUUUGUACAACACCUAAAGAUAAAGGUACUAAAAUCAUUUAUUAUAUACACAAUAUUUAGAUAUAUAAACUAAAUUAUUAUAUCAGUCUCUUGAACCAAUCGAAAGGAAACAUGCAAAUUUCGGUUUACUUAAGAAGAAUGUAAAUUUUGUCAUACUAAAUGCUAAGAAAAAUGAUCCAAAUUCAGAGGUACAUCAAAUCACAAUUAUAGUAAUGAAAGAAAACACACAAAAGGCAUUUUUAUCUCUUCCCAAAAUAGGAUAAAAAAUUAAUGAACAAUUAGAAUUUUCAAUGGUUCAUAGAUGAAUACACUGUACCACAAAGAGUCUUAAAUUGUAUAUUGUGUUACCUAACUUAUUUAGAUUGGCAAAUAAUCCAAAAAAAUAACAAAAAAAUAUUAGUACAGAAAAAUGUAACAUAAAACAUGAAAUGUAAGAACCGAAUAGAGGAACAAACAUUUUGUGGCCACUGGAUUGUAAAAAGAAUGGACACUAAAGUUACUAUAAAUUUUUAACUUUUCUAUAAGGUGAGGUAGUAAUAAGCCAAAAAAAUAUGACAUCUCAUUUCUUUUGGUGCAUUCACCUCAAUUAUUUUCUUAUGCUUGUUUUUUGCAUAAAAUAUAAGGCAUGUGUGUAGUCAGAUGACUGAACUAUUGGACUCUAUGUGCAUCCUUUUUGUGAGCUUAUACGACUAAAAAUCAGGAAGAGAUUGCAAACAUGGAAAUCAUAGAAACUUACAUUUAGUUUUGUAUUUAGUUAUUAAUCGAUAUGAUUUUCCAUUUAUCCCACUACCAAGACCCGAGCUUGCAUUACUCAUUACUCAGUGCCCUGCAUAUUUUGUGAAAGGCUCUUAGUUGAGAUAUUCCAUGUCCAAAAAAUACAAUUUAUUUAAUGCGUUCAUAAUUCUGAAUCAGGUACAAAAAGAAGCAGACAAAUAUUACUUAUGUCUUAUAAGUUUGAUACAUGUAUGCCACCUAAUAAAUUUUCCCAAAAAGGAAAGCUGAGAGGUCCUAUGCAGCACCAUCAUGUGUUUCUUCUUUCUAUUUUAGAGACAACCUAAGAUUUCACUACUGAUAAGGAGAAUCUCCUUACUAAGGAAAUUACCAGGUCAUACCAUGGGCAUAAGAAUUGUUCUUCGGAAUUUCAUCACCAUAUUAAAAAAGUUUUGAAGGAGAGGUCUGUAAAAACAAUCAUCCAUUAAUGAGUGCGAGCACUACUAAGACAACUAUAGCACACAAUAACCAACAAUCUAUAUAGAAUCCGGUCACUUUGAAAAGUUAAAAUGAUUUAUAUAAUAUAUUAGAGAAUUGUGCCAGCUAGACCACUGAUCAUGAAGUAAAAUAUUUAGAGAAAUAUAUUUACAAAAGACAACUAUAAUUGGUACAAAAUUUGGAAGGGUAGUCACUGAAAAGAAAUUCCUUUCUAACUGAAUACAACACUGAUCAAAUUAUACCAUUGAUAGUAACUUGUGUAAGAUAAUAUUACGUACGACAAAAUCACUGGAUAGAGGACUCCCUCGGUAUUAAUGUAUUAAUCGUUGCUCAAGAACACAUAAUUGAAGUACUGUAACGAAUGGCCCAAAUGAAAUUUUAUAUAUGUCAGCAAAUACAAACUACAAAAGGGCAUGUUAUUUAAUACACCACAAAAUAAUUUGAGCAAAUUCGAUCGUAGCAGGUCUGAACAUGCAAGAUUAGCAUCACAAAUCAUAGCUUCUAUAACAUCAGAGUCCAUAGCAUCAGAGGCCGUACCUUUCGAAGUGUGUGAGUUUCUCAUUCCAGCACACAUACAUUGUCAUGUACCAGCUGUUUGUAGAGCUCAUCCCAAUGAGAAUUUGUAUCUUCUUUAGUUAUUAUGUCUCUUAACAGUUAGGAUAGCAUUAUAACUAAGUUGAUGAGUUGUUAGGUUUUUGGUUGGUGAUGUCUCUUGUUAGAUUUAACCUGGAAUAAAAAAAUUAUAAUCUAGAAGUUACUCAUCUGUUGGCUUUACUCAACAACUUUUUAAUUAGAAGGAGCUCCUAACAUAGAGCAUCUACAAACAUAAAUUAUAUUCCAUGGCAUAUGGAUUUGCUAUUAACGUAUUGAUUUGUAUCUAUAUGUUUACAACAAAUCAAAAUCAAAUGGAAGCAUCGUAC
RNAcentral lists this long non-coding RNA (2614 nucleotides) under Triticum aestivum (bread wheat). RNAcentral's name for it is "long non-coding RNA (TAES_LNC001581)". The record is from RNAcentral. Lineage: Eukaryota; Viridiplantae; Streptophyta; Magnoliopsida; Poales; Poaceae.